UUAGCUUUUGGCUGCAGCCCAUGCCUUGGCCUGGGGGAGAUGAUGAGAACCAAAUCAGUGGUGCCAGUCAUCCCCCUCCACCAUGACUCUGCAGCUCCUUGCAGUGAGGAGCCACCUCUGUCUGUGGUGUCCUUGCUUGUGGGAAUCAGAAAAGCAGAAACUUCCACAGGCGCUGAAGGGUUUGAUCUCCAGCCUGAAAAGAAGUUUAAAUGGAUGUAAAAACACAAUGCGCAGACAGUUUAAAGGUUGACUGUGAUUUGGUUUCACUCAUCCUUAUCGGCAUCUCCUGCUCUGGCUGCUUUUGUUUUGGGAUCAGAUCUCCCUCUGCCUUUUCCCCACAUUCUCUCCCAAGGGAAAAAGGAGAAGCUGCAGCAAUUCCAUCUCCCUGUUGGGUGUGGAGAGCCAGGGGAUCCAGAGAUUCUGCUAGAAAAAGGCGUUCACACAUUUAUUCUCCUUUUAUCUGCCAAAUUUUCAAUCACAGAGCUGUUGCUUGUUCUGGAUCAUAUUCCAAUUCAAAGGUUAGCAUGGGGGAAAAAUAAUAUUUCAUGGGGGAUAAUUUGAUAUAUAAGAGCCUAAGAAAAAGAGAGGAUAAAAGUUCCUUCUGAAAAGGAAACUGAAAAUUAAAAAUAAGCAUAUGAACAAAUCCCAGUGAUAUGUAUUUUCUGUCCAUUUUGACAAGGCUUCAUUUGUGAAAAAGACUCUGGAGUAUAAAAAGAUGAGCCCUGGGGAGUUUAUGUCUCCAAGCUAUACAAUAAUAAAAAAUUUCCAAACACACAAAAACCCCCAAAACCCCAAAAAACAAAACAACUAAACAAAACAACAGAGCAAAAAAAAAAAAAUAAAAAAAAGAACAAAAGAAAACAACAACAGCAACAACAAAACCCCAUAUGGAAAUCUUUUCACAGCAUACUGAAACUGAGACAAAAAUCUGCAUGUAUAAGAAAAGUAAAAACCCCUUUUUAUUGGGAAGAAUCUCAGAAAAUAUUUAGAAAUUUAUUAUUUAUGUAUAUGCAAAAAACUUUGACAGUUAAGCAAAUCCAAAUAAUGUUUCAGCCUUAA
Zonotrichia leucophrys gambelii is the source of this 1059-nucleotide long non-coding RNA. RefSeq lists it as uncharacterized. NCBI's taxonomy places the organism in Eukaryota, Metazoa, Chordata, Aves, Passeriformes, Passerellidae. The record is from RefSeq and is a predicted model, not a curated record. The transcript has 2 exons.